RNAcentral lists this ribosomal RNA (457 nucleotides) under uncultured bacterium. RNAcentral describes it as "bacterial SSU rRNA". It matches the Rfam family "Bacterial small subunit ribosomal RNA", at positions 343 to 793 of the family's 1533-position model. The record is from RNAcentral.
GGGAGGCAGCAGUGGGGAAUAUUGCACAAGUGGGCGCAAGCCUGAUGCAGCCAUGCCGCGUGUAUGAAGAAGGCCUUCGGGUUGUAAGUACUUUCAGCAGUGAGGAAGGUGGAUAUGUUAAUAGCAUAUUCAUUUGACGUUAGCUGCAGAAGAAGCACCGGCUAACUCCGUGCCAGCAGCCGCGGUAAUACGGAGGGUGCGAGCGUUAAUCGGAAUUACUGGGCGUAAAGCGCAUGCAGGUGGUUUGUUAAGUCAGAUGUGAAAGCCCGGGGCUCAACCUCGGAAUUGCAUUUGAAACUGGCAAACUAGAGUACUGUAGAGGGGGUAGAAUUUCAGGUGUAGCGGUGAAAUGCGUAGAGAUCUGAAGGAAUACCGGUGGCGAAGGCGGCCCCCUGGACAGAUACUGACACUCAGAUGCGAAAGCGUGGGGAGCAAACAGGAUUAGAUACCCUGGUAG